ACCACUGAGCUAAAUCCCCGGCCCCAAAAAAAAUUUUUUUAAAGGAAAAGUUGUGGGCCGGGGAUUUAGCUCAGUGGC
Molecule: microRNA precursor, 78 nt
Filed under: Heterocephalus glaber (naked mole-rat)
Lineage: Eukaryota; Metazoa; Chordata; Mammalia; Rodentia; Bathyergidae
Description: mir-3473 microRNA precursor family
Rfam family: mir-3473 microRNA precursor family
Source: Rfam by way of RNAcentral